This 3406-nucleotide long non-coding RNA is filed under the name Nicotiana tabacum (common tobacco). Its description in RNAcentral is "long non-coding RNA (NTAB_LNC005477)". The record is from RNAcentral. Lineage: Eukaryota; Viridiplantae; Streptophyta; Magnoliopsida; Solanales; Solanaceae.
CUAAUUUCAUUCCCUGACCCUAGAGUCAAAAAAAAUCAGAUCUUUUACCCCAAAAGGAACUAGCGGUCGUUUCCCCUAUCUUCUUCCUCAUCUUCUCAAAAUAGGAACACCAGAGAACAUACUGCCCAUGUAUCCCACGACUUUUUGAACUCCUCCAUUUUCAACACACUUGAAACCAACGCUCAAUUUUAUCAACAUCGAGAAGGUAAAUUCUGAAAUUUUAUGGAAAAGGGUAAUGCGAAAAUAGCUACGACUUAUAGAAACAGCACAGUUCCUAAAGAAUAUUUAAAGAUAGAUAGGCCUUUUUUUAUGAAUUCAACUUGAAAAUCUUUAUCUUUAAAAUCCAAAAACUCUGGUGAUGCUUCGGUUUUCAGUAUCUGUUGUAAAAGCAAUGGCUCCAUCGCUAACUCUGCUGCUUCCACUAAGGAUGCUACCUCCAGAUUUUUAGAGCAUUAAGUCUAUUGUCUUGUUGUGCUGAUUCUGCUAAUCUUCAUCCACGUUUUCUGCCUUCAUUUGUCUUCUCUUUGGAGUAUUGUUUCUCAAACAAUUAGGUACACAACUUUGAACUUGUCUUAAUUGUGCGAAGCAAAUGAAAUUCCUGCUGAGUUUUGGUUUUUCUUUUUUGCUUUCUUAUCUGAUUGGCUAUGAGAAUUACCUUGAUUCCCGUUUUCAUUUAAGAAUAUUGUUGUUAGUUAGUUGACUCUUUUAAGCACUUUUACUUUCACCUAGCUCUUGAAUCGGGUCAGAGAUGAAAUCGUUUGUUCUACUUGCUGAACUUAAUAGAUGUUGUAGUUGAAUUCGCUAUGGCGUAUUUGUUUAAAGCAUAAACUCAAUUGAAUGGGGACUAUCAUAUCUUGUGUUUCUGCUUGGACUAUUCCUGGGAUGUCAUUGAUUAUAAUGGUGGACUUUAAGCUAAUGUGUACAGAUUUAAUAUUAAAAGGCUUUCAAUGAGCUUGGACACCAGUUCAACUCUAGUUUAGCUUAUGUAAUUGGGCCAUUCAAAGUAUAAUUAAAGAGGCUAUUGAUGUAAAGUUGAAAAUUGUGCUUUUUCUAUAACGAAUUGGUGAUGUAAUUUUUGAAUUUAAGAUAAUAUAUAUUCAUGCUUAGCUUAAUUCAUAGCUAUUUCGCUUUUCUUUAUGGAUAGCCUUUUGAGUUUGAUUAUCAAAUCUGAUUUCAAACUCUUCUAAAUAAUUAUUACUAAGCAAGUUCAGUGUGUCAAGAUCAUAUACAUUAAUUUCUAUGCCUUUUACCCACAAAAUUGUAAUCCUCUCAUAAUCUAGUUUAAAAUCCACCAAUGUGCACUCUUGCCAAAUGAUUCUAUCAUUCCAAUAAUCUCAAAGUAGGAAAUAAUUCAUGAACAUCGUAACUUGCUUUAUGACCGAUUAAUAAUAAAUCUUCGUGACUAUGGGUGCAGUUUCUGUGGCAUAGUCAUGAUGUGUAACUCCAAAAUUUGAGUGCACGCUGGCAUGACGCGACCCCCCCCCCCUUCCCCAACUCCGAACAAUUAUAAAAAGAAACAUAUUGUAAAUCGCUGGUGCAUUUCAUGUGACGUGGUUUGCAAUGUGUACCAAAACAACAAGUGUACGACAACGAUGUAAUGAUCCGGCCGGUCAUUUCAUGAGUUACCGCUCCGUUUCCCCCAUUUGUGCUUCUUUAUGUCUUGUUCAGCUGUAUUAUAUGGUAUCAGGUUAGUUGAUUCGGGUUUGGAGUGGUUUUGGAGAGGUUUGAGACACUUAGUCUAUUUUGAGUAAGCUUAAGUGGGAAAACUCAACCGGAUGUUGACUUAUGUGAAAAAGGGCUGGGAUGUGAAAUAUGAUGAUUCGGAUAGCUUCAAAAGGUGAUGUAAGAGCAUGAUCGGAAUGUGUUUUGGAAGUUCGUAGUAAAUUUAGGAUUGAAGUGGCAAAAAUGGAUUUUUGGCGUGUUUCGGUUGAUAGUGGAAAUUUUGAUAUAGGGGUCGGAGUGGAGUUCCAGGAGUGACAAUAGGUUCGUUGUAUCAUAUGGGAUGUGUGUGUAGAAUUUCAGGUCAUUCGGACGAGGUUUGAUAGACUUUUUGAUCGAAAGCGGAAUUCAGAAGUUUUUGGAGUCCUUAGGCUCGAAUCCGUGGUUGAUUUGUUGUUUUAAUGUUGAUUUAGGUGCUUCGAAGAUUGGUAUAUGUUUGGAUGGUGGUAUAUGACUUGUUCGUACUUUUGGUUUAGGUCCCGGGGGCCUCGGGGUAAUUUCGGAUGGUUGAUGGGAGAUUUGGAGCUGGAAAUUUGUAGCUGAAGUUGUUGGAGCUCCUAUCUGAGGGUUCGAAACCCCAAACUAUGUGUUCUAUGAUUACUAAUGAGGUGACGCAAAUGCCAAGUGAUGGGUGUGUGGGCAUGCACCAUGAGAAAUGUGUCCUGGAUCAUUCCAGAGCACCGCUUAAUGACUCUUUCUUGCUGAUAUCUAUGUUGUAUCUAUGUGAUUAAGUUAAUGAGCUGCAAAUCAUGCUAAUUACCAUGUUAAGGGUUCACACCAAUACUGUUGAGACCCGAGAGGUCAUUUCUUGUUGUCAUGUCAUUAGCUUCAUCUAUAUUCUAUACUAAGUCCUGUUUAUGCAUAUUAUAUCAUGCCUCAGUCUUGAUUAUUACUAUUUGACAUAUCAUAUCACUGUUCGGGCUAGUAUCAUGACAUUUUUGAGCCCGUCUCUGUGAGACUGGAGAGUAUUGACUGAGUGUGGCCGAGAGCCUGAUAUUGAUUGACAAUAUGGGAUCGGGCUGCACGCCAUAGCGAGAUAUUGAUCAUGCCUUCGCUGGCAUUGAUAUAGCUCUUGGUCUCAGAGAAGCCCCUCCGGAGUCUUUACACCCCAGUGAGCGCAGUUGAUGAUAUUGAAGGAUGGAUUUUCCCUGGACACGGAUCUUGUCUGAAGUAUUGGUAUAGAGAUGGAUCUUUUCCAUGAGGCUGGAUUGGCCUGUUUCCUCGGUACUGGGUGACUUAUAGUCUGUGACGUAUGUUUACCGUGAAAAUGGUAACAACAAUUAAAUUUGUAAAUGGUACUCUAAUAAUAUGUGAUCUAUUUUUAUGCUAGUUAUUAGAGCAGUUGAUGCUAGGUGUAUUAACUGCACCUGCGACUUGGGGACCGCAGGUGCGGGCCCGCAGAAGCGUAAGGAGGGAUGCAGAUGCGAAAAUAGGCGAGAGGAGCAGGAACCGCAGAUACAGAUGUUUGAGCGCACCUGUGAUAGAGCAGGUGCGGAAUUUUGAUCGCAGGUGCGGUCCUUGGGAGGUUAAGUGAAUUCCAUAGAUGCGCACCUAGGAUCGCAGGUGCGGGUUUGCAGGUGCGAGAUUUCGACCGUAGAAGCGGUUUAGCUGGGGAAGAACAUUUAUAUUUAGCCCUUCACGAUUUUUGAGUGGUUUUUCACCAUUUUCAUGCAGGUCUGAGCUUGGG